This 497-nucleotide ribosomal RNA is filed under the name uncultured bacterium. RNAcentral's name for it is "partial 16S ribosomal RNA". It matches the Rfam family "Bacterial small subunit ribosomal RNA", at positions 28 to 507 of the family's 1533-position model. The record is from RNAcentral.
GAUGAACGCUGGCGGCGUGCCUAAUACAUGCAAGUCGAGCGAACAGAUGAGGAGCUUGCUCCUUUGACGUUAGCGGCGGACGGGUGAGUAACACGUGGAUAACCUACCUAUAAGACUGGGAUAACUUCGGGAAACCGGAGCUAAUACCGGAUAAUAUAUCGAACCGCAUGGUUCAAUAGUGAAAGACGGUUUUGCUGUCACUUAUAGAUGGAUCUGCGCCGCAUUAGCUAGUCGGUAAGGUAACGGCUUACCAAGGCAACGAUACGUAGCCGACCUGAGAGGGUGGUCGGCCACACUGGAACUGAGACACGGUCCAGACUCCUACGGGAGGCAGCAGUAGGGAAUCUUCCGCAAUGGGCGAAAGCCUGACGGAGCAACGCCGCGUGAGUGAUGAAGGUCUUCGGAUCGUAAAACUCUGUUAUUAGGGAAGAACAAAUGUGUAAGUAACUGUGCACGUCUUGACGGUACCUAAUCAGAAAGCCACGGCUAACUACGUG